GUCAUUAUAGUGUAAAUAACACACUAUACUUUCAUUGUAGAGAUAAAGGGACUCCUUUUAAAGAUA
Molecule: transfer RNA, 66 nt
Filed under: Lebbeus groenlandicus
Lineage: Eukaryota; Metazoa; Arthropoda; Malacostraca; Decapoda; Hippolytidae
Description: tRNA-Glu
Source: RNAcentral